Molecule: microRNA precursor, 190 nt
Filed under: Oryza nivara
Lineage: Eukaryota; Viridiplantae; Streptophyta; Magnoliopsida; Poales; Poaceae
Description: MIR812 microRNA precursor family
Rfam family: MIR812 microRNA precursor family
Source: Rfam by way of RNAcentral
AAUAAGCGCAACCAUGAGUUUCCGUGUCCAAUUUUUAUCUUCCGUCUUAUUUAAAAUUUUUUUAUGAUUAGUAUUUUUAUUGUUAUUAGAUUAUAAAAUAUGAAUACAUAUGUUUUUGUAUUUUUUUAAAAAAAUAUUAAAUAAGACGAACGAUUAAAGUUGGACACGAAAACUCAUGGCUGCGCUUAUU